UCUCAUCUAGGUUCGUGUUAUAAACGAAGCAGGAAAAGGUCCAUGGUCUCAUGAAGUAUCAGCUCAAACGUUGGUUCAUCGACAACACCAUCAAGAACAAAGGCUAGUGGAUACCCCGGAUCAGAUUGUUGAUGAGAUCCCAGCAAGCUCAAGCGAUCAGAGAAAAACCCCGGGUCAUCUUCCGGGAAUUCUUACCGGGGUCGGCCUGGUACUGAUCGCCCUCCUCAUCGCCAGUGUCCUUGUUUAUAGAAGACGAAGGAGGAAGAUUCAGACAGUCGAGCCCGUUGAUUCUUUUAAAAGUUUGGAUGUGCAGGAAUAAAUAAAAGCGGAACAAGAUGUUGGAACACUGUUUCUCUGUGAUUAAACAUUGUUUAUGACUAUUCGAAAGUGCGCGCGAGGCUGAUUGAAAAUAUCCUACGCCGACGCUUGGAAACACUUACUCUGAACAUUGAAAUUAGGAGCACAUGACACCAUGGAAAUAAUGUAACUUUUGAAAGUUGAAAAUGUGAGCUUCCAUAAUUCAUAAUAUUUCUGCAGCGAUUGUUGUUCAUGACUGUCACAAAAAUAAACGAGCCCAUAGGGGUCUGCAGCCCCAUGGAAAUUUUUACAUCAGCAAUAAUCGGGAAAUAAUCACGUCAUGUUUAAACUUCUAACUCCAUGGCCAAUUCGUAGUUAAUUAAAUAUCUUAGCGAGUAUUUUUGUGACGGCAUCAUGAAUUAUCAAUAGUCUUAUUUGCUCGCUUAGCUUUUUCGCAAUGAUUUACAUGUACCGUAAUGUGUCGUGCAACGCCCACGGACUAGCCGAGUUGUUGAGACGUAGCACCAACACUUCAAGAUGCCUUGAGAGAUGCCUUCGCCAAUAUCUCGUAUUACUAUUAGUAACCUGCCACCUCUAUCCAAUCAUGAACGACAUAAUCAUAACGUCAGAAACAAAUAUUGACGUUGUUCAGGCAAGGAUGUUUCAUGGUCUAUGGCCUUAGAGCCUUACGUGGAGACUAUAUAUAGCUACAUGCUGCAACACUUCAAACAGUUGCCUGUAAUCGUCAAGACCUUGCAUUUCAAUGCUGUCAUCUUAACUAGAUAUGCUGUUAUCUGAUCAAAAUGGUGGACAAUCAUUAUUUUAAGUUGGUAGUAGCAGUAGAAGUAGUAUAGUAGUAGAAGAAGUAGUAUAUAGUAG
Strongylocentrotus purpuratus (purple sea urchin) is the source of this 1176-nucleotide long non-coding RNA. RefSeq lists it as uncharacterized. The transcript is spliced from 3 exons. NCBI's taxonomy places the organism in Eukaryota, Metazoa, Echinodermata, Echinoidea, Camarodonta, Strongylocentrotidae. The record is from RefSeq and is a predicted model, not a curated record.